GAUGAACGCUGGCGGCGUGCCUAAUACAUGCAAGUCGAGCGAACAGACGAGGAGCUUGCUCCUCUGACGUUAGCGGCGGACGUGUGAGUAACACGUGGAUCCCCUACCUAUAAGACUGGGAUAACUUCGGGAAACGGGAGCUAAUACCGGAUAAUAUAUUGAACCGCAUGGUUCAAUAGUGAAAGUCGGUUUUGCUGUCACUUAUCGAUGGAUCCGCGCCGGAUUAGCUAGUUGGUAAGGUAAAGGCUUAUCACGGCGACUAGGCGUAGCCGACCGGAGAGGGUGGUCGGCGACACGGGAGCGUGGACACGGUCCAGGGUCCUGCGGGAGGCAGCAGUAGGGUAUCGUCCGCAGUGGGCGAAAGCCUGACGGAGCAACGCCGCGUGAGUGAUGAAGGUCUUCGGAUCGUAAAACUCGGUUAUUGGGGAAGAACAAAUGUGUAAGGAACUAUGCACGUCGUGACGGUACCUAAUCAGAAAGCCACGGCUAACUACGUG
This 497-nucleotide ribosomal RNA is filed under the name uncultured bacterium. Its description in RNAcentral is "partial 16S ribosomal RNA". It matches the Rfam family "Bacterial small subunit ribosomal RNA", at positions 28 to 507 of the family's 1533-position model. The record is from RNAcentral.